This 253-nucleotide ribosomal RNA is filed under the name uncultured bacterium. Its description in RNAcentral is "partial 16S ribosomal RNA". It matches the Rfam family "Bacterial small subunit ribosomal RNA", at positions 524 to 776 of the family's 1533-position model. The record is from RNAcentral.
UACGUAGGGGGCAAGCGUUGUCCGGAUUUAUUGGGCCUAAAGCAUCCGUAGCCGGUUCUACAAGUCUUCCGUUAAAUCCACCUGCUUAACAGAUGGGCUGCGGAGGAUACUAUGGAGCUAGGAGGCGGGAGAGGCAAGCGGUACUUAGUGGGUAGGGGUAAAAUCCGUUGAUCCAUUGAAGACCACCAGUGGCGAAGGCGGCUUGCCAGAACGCACUCGACGGUGAGGGAUGAAAGCUGGGGGAGCAAACCGG